GCUAACGGUGUCCGAGUGGUUAAGGAGUUGGACUUGAAAUCCAAUGGGUUCUACCCGCACAGGUUCGAGUCCUGUCCGAAGCG
Molecule: transfer RNA, 83 nt
Filed under: Blattella germanica (German cockroach)
Lineage: Eukaryota; Metazoa; Arthropoda; Insecta; Blattodea; Blattellidae
Description: tRNA-Ser (TGA) (tRNA-Ser-TGA-15-1)
Rfam family: tRNA (bases 6-78)
About the family: Transfer RNA (tRNA) molecules are approximately 80 nucleotides in length.
Source: RNAcentral